RNAcentral lists this ribosomal RNA (414 nucleotides) under Stylocellus sp. Borneo 14. RNAcentral's name for it is "partial 28S ribosomal RNA". It matches the Rfam family "Eukaryotic large subunit ribosomal RNA", at positions 1486 to 1863 of the family's 3401-position model. The record is from RNAcentral. Lineage: Eukaryota; Metazoa; Arthropoda; Arachnida; Opiliones; Stylocellidae.
GAGGACUGAGGUGGRGAAGGGUUCCAUGUGAMCAGCAGUUGAACAUGGGUCAGUCGGUCCUAAGGGAUGGGAGAAAUCCGUUCCGAAGCGGGGCCNNNNNNNNNNNNNGUUGGUCCCGCCGCAGACCGAAAGGGAAUCGGGUUAAUAUUCCCGAACCCGGACAUGGAGAUCGACCCCUCACGGGGUCCAGUGCGGUAACGCAAACGAACUCGGAGACGUCGACGGGAGUCCCGGGAAGAGUUGUCUUUUCUUUGUAAGGGCUCGGCUCCCUGGAAUCGGCUCGCCCGGAGAUAGGGAUGCUGUACCCGUAAAGCACCGCGCCUCUUGCGGUGUCCGGAGCGCUCCCGUCGGCCCUUGAAAAUCCGAGCGAGAGGUUGUGAUUUUCGUGCCGGACCGUACCCAUAUCCGCAGCAG